RNAcentral lists this ribosomal RNA (484 nucleotides) under uncultured bacterium. RNAcentral describes it as "partial 16S ribosomal RNA". It matches the Rfam family "Bacterial small subunit ribosomal RNA", at positions 29 to 507 of the family's 1533-position model. The record is from RNAcentral.
AUUGAACGCUGGCGGCAUGCUUUACACAUGCAAGUCGAACGGCAGCGCGGGCUUCGGCCUGGCGGCGAGUGGCGAACGGGUGAGUAAUGCAUCGGAACGUGCCCAGUAGUGGGGGAUAGCCCGGCGAAAGCCGGAUUAAUACCGCAUACGACCUGAGGGUGAAAGCGGGGGACCGAAAGGCCUCGCGCUAUUUGAGCGGCCGAUGUCGGAUUAGCUAGUUGGUGGGGUAAAGGCUUACCAAGGCGACGAUCCGUAGCUGGUCUGAGAGGACGACCAGCCACACUGGGACUGAGACACGGCCCAGACUCCUACGGGAGGCAGCAGUGGGGAAUUUUGGACAAUGGGGGCAACCCUGAUCCAGCAAUGCCGCGUGAGGGAAGAAGGCCUUCGGGUUGUAAACCGCUUUUGUUCGGGAAGAAAUCCUCUGGGCUAAUACCCCGGGGGGAUGACGGUACCGGAAGAAUAAGCACCGGCUAACUACGUG